This 391-nucleotide ribosomal RNA is filed under the name uncultured bacterium. Its description in RNAcentral is "bacterial SSU rRNA". It matches the Rfam family "Bacterial small subunit ribosomal RNA", at positions 28 to 418 of the family's 1533-position model. The record is from RNAcentral.
GAUAAACGCUGGCGGCGUGCAUGAGACAUGCAAGUCGAACGGACGAUCGAGGCUUGCUUCGAUCGUUAGUGGCGGACGGCUGAGUAACGCGUAGGUGACCUGCCCCGAAGUGGGGAAUAACUGCCCGAAAGGGUGGCUAAUACCGCAUGUGGUGGUGUGUUCAAUCGCACCAGUAAAGCCGCAAGGCGCUUCGGGGAGGGGCCUGCGUCCGAUUAGCUCGUUGGUGGGGGUAACGGCNCACCAAGGCGACGAUCGGUAGGUGGUCUGAGAGGACGAUCACCCAGACUGGGACUGAGACACGGCCCAGACUCCUACGGGAGGCAGCAGUCGGGAAUUUUGCGCAAUGGACGAAAGUCUGACGCAGCAACGCCGCGUGAGGGAUGAAGGCCUC